ACAAAAUAACCAAAUUACAAAUUUCGAAAAUAGAUAGAAUCAUAGAAACCACGAUAAGAACUGUAAUAUAUAAAAGUAGUUAUAAUCAAAUAGAAAAUGAAUAAUUAUCUAAAAUGAAAAAAAAAAAAACAUAUGGUAAUUUGUCAAUAAAUAGGUAAAAUAUUUCAGAUGACUGGGGUUGUUCAUUUAACCAAGAUUCUAAAGUUGUGAAAGGGCUAUAUUACGAGAGGAUAAAAGAUCAACCGUUUAUUUUCAAACUUGUGAAGCGUAGAACUGCGAUUUGCUAUUCAUCUGCAAUACGGUUCAUUUGUGCUGAAAUUGAAGGAGGCAGUAAAAUUGUUGUACCUGAGGAGUUACACCUCGAUAUUAUACAAAGCUUGUAAACAUAUAUCAGAUGAAUAUAAUUAUUUUUCACGCAAUCAUUCUCUUUCUUGAUUUAAUUACUCCGUUGUAAACAAUAGAAGUCUUUUUCAUUAAAAUCUUUUCACUUAUCAUCACACACACCCCCCCCCCCCCC
Molecule: long non-coding RNA, 517 nt
Filed under: Mytilus galloprovincialis (Mediterranean mussel)
Lineage: Eukaryota; Metazoa; Mollusca; Bivalvia; Mytilida; Mytilidae
Source: RNAcentral